AGGGCAAUGCAUUAUUCUGGUACAAUCUCAAGAAAUCAGGGCAAGGAGACAAAAGGACCAUACACGCUGGGUGCCCUGUCUUGAUAGGCAAUAAAUGGGUCGCAAACAAAUGGUUCCACGAAUAUGGUAACGAAUUUCGACGCCCAUGUGGACUAAACGAGAAUGAUUAGAAGAUCUGAAAGCGUUUUGUGACUACAGAGAAGGUCUUCUUGCGUGACACGUCACGUAAAUGUGUACCCUUCAAAUGGAAACCCAAAGUUUGACGACGCCGUUAAAUAGAAAUCGUUCAAAAGGCGCUCUGUUACUAUACAAUAGCUAAUGUGUGUCCAUCUAUGUGUUCAAGGGUACAUGGGUACCCUGUGUAAUAGAUUCGCGAGAGGGGGUUUUGAGAAAAGGAAAAGUUGGAUAAAUUAUUAAUAAAAAGAAAGAAAAAUUACAUGAACGAAAAUAAAUAUGAAUACCAUUUUUAAA
Exaiptasia diaphana is the source of this 471-nucleotide long non-coding RNA. RefSeq lists it as uncharacterized. The record is from RefSeq and is a predicted model, not a curated record. The transcript is spliced from 2 exons. NCBI's taxonomy places the organism in Eukaryota, Metazoa, Cnidaria, Anthozoa, Actiniaria, Aiptasiidae.